GACUCCGUAGCUUAACCGGCAGAGCGAUUGAUUCUCAAUCAAUAGGGCGGCAGUUCGAACCUGUCCGGAGUCG
This 73-nucleotide transfer RNA is filed under the name Stigonema ocellatum SAG 48.90 = DSM 106950. RNAcentral describes it as "tRNA-Glu". It matches the Rfam family "tRNA". From Rfam's summary of the family: Transfer RNA (tRNA) molecules are approximately 80 nucleotides in length. Their secondary structure includes four short double-helical elements and three loops (D, anti-codon, and T loops). RNAcentral also lists the same sequence under 1 other name. The record is from RNAcentral. Lineage: Bacteria; Bacillati; Cyanobacteriota; Cyanophyceae; Nostocales; Stigonemataceae.